GUGAUUUCGAAGCAUCUCGAUCAUGGGGCACUCCAACGUCUGGAACUCUCAUCCUAAGAACUAUGGCCCUGGUUCUCGGACUUGUCGUGUGUGUGGAAAUCCCCAUGGGUUGAUCAGGAAGUAUGGACUUAUGUGUUGCAGACAAUGCUUUCGUAGCAACGCCAAGGAAAUUGGUUUCAUUAAGUACCGCUGAGAAGCUAAUCAUCUCUAGAAGAGAGGAUGGGUUGAAUUUACAUUGAAGAUUUUCCUAUGUUUUCUGCUCUUGUUUACUCAGUUUGGAAUAUGAAAUGAUUGUUAGAAGACGAUUUUGACACUUUGUUCUGAACUACUAUAUUUAAUGUUUCUUAAUUGAGCUUCUUGAGAUUAUU
This 368-nucleotide unclassified non-coding RNA is filed under the name Hevea brasiliensis (rubber tree). Lineage: Eukaryota; Viridiplantae; Streptophyta; Magnoliopsida; Malpighiales; Euphorbiaceae. The record is from RNAcentral.